This 327-nucleotide unclassified non-coding RNA is filed under the name uncultured fungus. Its description in RNAcentral is "partial contains 5.8S ribosomal RNA, internal transcribed spacer 2, and large subunit ribosomal RNA". RNAcentral also lists the same sequence under 1 other name. The record is from RNAcentral. Lineage: Eukaryota; Fungi.
AACGCACCUUGCACCCUCUGGCAUUCCGGAGGGUAUGCCUGUCUGAGUGUCGUGAACGACCCUCCUGCACAUUUGUGUCCACUUGUGUCCACAAGUGUCCGCUUGUGCGGGGUGUUGGGCGCUGCGGGUCCCCGGACCGGCUCGCCUGAAAUGCAGUGGUGGUGCCGAGGAGGCCCCGAUGCGCCGCUCAAAACGUAAUAACAUUCCGUCGAGAGCGGGCGGCAGCAGGGGCGGGCUCAGCGCGCUGCCUUACAGGGAUGCGGGGCAACCCCAAUCCGUCUACCACACACCGACCUCAGAUCAGGUAGGACUACCCGCUGAAUUUAA